This 582-nucleotide ribosomal RNA is filed under the name Triticum aestivum (bread wheat). RNAcentral describes it as "partial small subunit ribosomal RNA". Lineage: Eukaryota; Viridiplantae; Streptophyta; Magnoliopsida; Poales; Poaceae. The record is from RNAcentral.
AUGUCGACCUCCGACUCCGAGCCCGGCUAUGCAGCCGGCGCCGCCGCGAUAACCACCGCACCGUCCUCCACCUGCUCAUCCAACCCGUCGACACCACCGCCCCAGCCUCCGCCACGCCGCCACAAGAACAUUGUGAGUAUGGCCGCGACCAGCAGGGAGGCGGAGGAGGCUCAGGACGUCUGGUUCAGGCACGGAGCUCAGUGGGAGGCUGCGUGGCCACGGCGCCCGAAGCCCGUGGUCGUCGCCGCCGAGGAGACGGGCAGCACCGGCGCCGCGUCAUCACCUUGUGGCGGCGACGGCGUGGGCCGCGCGAGGAGCCUCACCGACGAGGACCUCGACCAGCCCCUGGCACCGCAGGAGCAGGCGACGGCCGCCACGCCGACCUCCUCGCCGCCCAUUGCCCAGGCGAGCAAAACAAAUCAAACGCCUCCCACUACAAUUCUACUACAAGAAUCGAGUUGUUCUUCUUCAUCUAACGUGGUGGUGGUGGGUGGUGUUGCAGGGGAUAGCACGGAGGAGGUGAAGACGCGGCUCAAGUACUGGGCGCGGGCGGUGGCGUGCACCGUCAGGCUCUGCAGCUGA